RNAcentral lists this unclassified non-coding RNA (5509 nucleotides) under Leishmania donovani. RNAcentral describes it as "gene:LdHU3.22.0300(CDS-product:hypothetical_prote in_conserved)". The record is from RNAcentral. Lineage: Eukaryota; Euglenozoa; Kinetoplastea; Trypanosomatida; Trypanosomatidae.
CUAACCGGUACACGUACAUCGCGCACGUGUGCGUCUUCGCUUUCUUUCCUUGCUGCUUCCCGUCGUGUCGCGGGUGUCUCUGUGGAGCUGUCUGCGUGUCAGCGCGCUCUUUCCGUAUCGCGCUUCGCGCUCUUUUUUAUUUUGAGCAACUGCCAACCCUCGUCAGCGCGCCCACCCUCUACGCCAGUCGCGAUGCCUCCGUCGCACGCAGCAAAGCGUGGGCGCAGCCACAGCAGCGGUGUCAACGUCUCGGAGCGGCAGCCAAACUGCUCUGCCUCACCUCGCAACGGCGGCAAUCACAGCAGUCGCCAACGCAGCCCCGCAGCGCACGCGCAUGGCGAGCGGAACGCCUCCGGGGUGGGUCGUGGGCGCGGAACACAUCCGCACAAGCUCGGGGCGCUGCGGCUAAAGAAAGGGAUGACAAAGUACCACGAAAAGAAGUUCCGCGAGCAGCGCGGCCGUCAGCAGACGCAUCAGGGCAGCGGCCCCUCGCGCAUCCACGCGGACCCGGCGCGCAGCGGUAGCAGUAAUCAAACUCGGCCCCCCCGCAUGGCGAGCUCCAGCCGCACCAAGGAUAUCGAUAUCCACCUCGCCGCCAAGGUGUCAGCGGAUCUGAGGGAAAGCCUCAACGUUUUCAAGACCCGCCGCGCCAACCAGAGGGUCUUCUGCCAAGACCUCAACGAGCGUCUCUUUCGCUUCGUGCCACCGCCUCUGAUUCAGCAGCACAUGCCAGAUUCCGUCUCGUCCUUUCGCACGUACCUGUCGAGGUUCCAGAAGGGCGCGCCGACGAUGGUAAGCGCGUUUCUGUCGUGGUACGAGUGGGCCUCCUUUGAAGCAAACAAGGGCAAAACGUUUUCGAAGCCGCAGAGCAGCGGUGCCGGCACAACGGCCGCGGAGAAGGACGAUGACGACGAAGAGGCUGCACCGGUGAAGGGGGAGGCGGCGGCGGACGGAGAUGGCAAGAAGGCAUCUGGCAGGAAGCUGAGCCAGACGCAUCAGGUCAUGUCGCAGACAUUGAAGGAGCGAGAGCACAUGCGGGCAUUGCUGCACAUGUGCCUGCGCCACAACGCCGAAAAGCGCAAGCAGGGCCAACACGCCUUCCUCAAUCACCUCAAUGCCAAAUUGAGCGAGGACGACGUGGACGCCCGCAACCUCGAGCGCCUUCGCGGGUCGGCGCACCACUCCGUUCUCUACGCCCUGUCGCGCCUGUUGCUCGGCAUGGUGACGGACGACUUCGCCAUGCUGUGUCUCCACUGUCACUCUUUGUUCCUCGUCAUGGCGCAGACGACCAUUAGCCCCGCCGUCGUGCUGGAGCUGAUGGACGAAGAGUUCGCGUUGAGCGCGCGUAUGAAGGCGGUGAAGCUGCGCCUCGAGUCGCGCUCUUGCCGCCGCGACGGCGACGGCGACGGCGACGGCGACGGCGACGAUGGCGGCAUCGACCUCGACGAUAUCAGCGAUCCGACCAAGGGCGAGCGCAACCAGCGCCUCAUGGCGACCGUGUUUGCGCUGGGUGCCGUGGUUGCUUCGCAGAAGCGCCUCAGGCUACCGGAAGCGUCUCAGCUCGCCACGGUGCUCGCCUUCGCCUACGUGGAGCAGAAAGCGACUCGGGUGCUCUCUGCUAACGUUCUGUUCCAAGUGCUGGCGCAGCACAGCGACUUGUAUCAGCAGGAGGAGCCGCUGCAGUGGCUGACGUUCGCCUUCUUCCACUACCCCAAGAUGGAGUACUUCCGACCGGAGGCGAUACAGCUGUUGCUGCGCCUCAUGGAAACAGACGCGAAGCCGCCGGCACGCGCACUUCCCGCCACGGUCGAGGAAUACCUCACCCUAGACCCGCUCAGCCCCACGACGAUGGAACAGAUCAGCAACGCCCUGUUCCGCAAGGAGCAGGUGACGGCCUACCACCCUAUGGUGCACCCAGUGUGGCACGACAUUUUUCAGCUCGUUGUGCGCCGCGUCGCCAUGGGUGAGUCGAUGAAGGAGCACCUCGGCACGAUUCUGCACAACAUGAUCGUGCCAUACCGCCGUGGUAGCGCUGAUGUCCCACGCCGAGCGCUCUUCCAGAACCUGGUGACCGAGCUGGGCUAUAUCGCGGUUCAGUCCGACCACGCCGAGCAGCGUAUGGAAGUGCUCAAGCUGGCGAGCACGCACGUCGGGUACGGCAAGCGCACAUCGGCGAAGCCGACGACGAUGCAGGAGCUGAAGCAGAUGCCCAUCUCCGCCCUCCACCGCAAGGUCGAGGACCUCCUCCGGCAGUAUGCCAUGACUGCCGACUCGGACCCGGCCGCCGUGACGAACCGUACGUGGGUUCUGCGCGAGCUGCGCAACUGUCUCUACGUACCCGUGCGCGAAGGCGUCGACCAUGCAUACGUGGACGCGGCGGUAAUGCGGCUGCUCGAGUUCGGUCUGUUCCCUCCGCGACACUCGCGCGACACUCUCAGUCAGAACCGCUGCAUCUACCUCUUCGCCGACGUCUACUCCUUCACCUUCCAUGGUCCGCUGGCCCGUCCAAAGAGCUCUGUGGCCGCUACGACGAUCAUCACUGCUUACCUAGCGGCAGAGGAGAAGUCGAAGACGCGCUACACUACGGCUGUGCAGCAUAGCGCUUUCCGUAAGUCGCGCAACCGAGUCGUCGAGGCGCUCGAGGUACCUGAUGAGCAGCGCAGCGUCCUCUUCUACGAACGGGCCGACAUGGACAUCCUGCUGGCGCUGCUCUUUCUCAUGCUCAGCGUCGACGACCCGACAAACAGCGACGCCAUGGUGAUAGCCAAGAGCGUCAUACCUGACUUGGCACAGUUCUAUACCGCCGGCACGCUGGAGACGCUCGACCUGUUCCUCGAUGCCCUCAUGGCCCUCCUCAUGCGCACGAGUGCGCCGCUGCACGUGAUGCCGCUCAUGACGUGUGUACGGCGCAUCGCGAUGGGCUUCGUCCUGAAGUUCGCGAAGUUCAUUCGGACGAAGAGCACGCUGGACAUUCUGCUGGCGCCGCUGAAGGAUGCGUACCACACGGACAGCCGGGAGCAGGCCCGCCAGCGCAAGGCAAAGCAGGCGGCAGAGGACGGCGACAGGCAGAGCUCGAGCGACGAGGAUGGCGGCGGUGCUGGCGCUUCCUCCGACGGAGACAGCGUGGGCGGUGACGGCGGUGAUGAAGCGGCCGAGGGCGGUGCUGGCAGCAAUGAGGACGACGCGAGCAGUUCUGUCGAGGAAUCGUCCACGGAGACCGUCUCCGCCACUGUCAGCGACGACAGCGACUCGGAGGCGGGGACGGCGGAGGAGGAGGAGGACGGCGAGGCCGUGGCGGACGAGGUCACCGACGCGGAGUCGAGCGAGGGCGACGACGAGGACGCCUUCGAAGAGGAAGAGGCGCCGACGCAGCAGUACAUCGACGCGCUGAAGGGCAUGGUUGGCGGCAUGGACCUGGAUCAUGUUUACCCCACCGGCACCGCCAGCCAGGAGAAGGCGGACGUGGUGCGUGCCAUCCGCCUCGCUACGCGCGUUGGUCUCGCCAUGCGCAGCGCCGAGGUGGUGCACGUGUAUCAGGUGCUGCUGGCCGUUGCCCGUGAGAACGUGAAGACAGCCGACGACGUCGUCUUCCACAGCGCUGUCUCCUCAUUGGAAAUGUUGCUGCUCACCAAGAACCGAUAUUUCGGCUCCUUUGUAGCGGCGACAGAUCUGUUCCAGCUGCUCGGCGACAUCCAGAGCUACCUGCGCAAGCUCAGCCGUGUGCUGCUGAGUAAAGACAGCGUUAUGGCGAAGGCGGCCGCGGCGGCUCGUCGCCGCCUCGUCACGGUCAAGGGCAUCGCGUUGCGCGUGUUCCACUUUGUUGCGAUGCUGGCCAGCAAGAACCAUGCCGGCGAGGAGGUGCGUAUUGUGCUGAGCGAGUACUACAAGUCUGUGUUUUGUGACCGCGGCUGGGACACGAAGAAGCUGCUGCCCUCGCUGAAGAAGGACCUGUACCACUACCGCCAAGGCUUUGCCUGGGCGCUGCUUCCUGCCGUGCUUGAGAAGAACGAGGAGGUGCUGCCCUUGGAAGGCCCGCAGCGCGUACGCGUCUUCACCGGCUGCUGUGUCUUUGUCGAGGCGAUGCUGCCGCGGCUCAGCGGGCUGCCCGGCGAGCUGAAGCGCAGCGCUAGCGCUGCCAUCUGCGGCCUUGUGCAGUCUGUCUCGGUGGCGCAGGUCUUUGCCAUGAAGCACACCCUUCCGUACAACUACCUGCACAUGGUGAAGAUGGUGCUGCAGUACAACAGCCGCGUGCAACUUGACCCCGCAUGGGUUGCGUCCGCGGUGAUCGCGCCGGCGGUGGACGACGACGACAUUUUGCUGUCCGCCGCAUCCAUUCGGCUGCUGGGCACGAUGGAGCGCAUGCUGGGCCUCACCCCGCGUGCGAGAGAGACGAAGGCGCCGUCGCCGGUGAAGCUGCUGUAUGAGCAGUUCGUGAAGCGUGGUGCAAAGGAGAAGAGCGAUUUCUACCGCCGCGCAAAGAAGGUGCGCAGCCGUGUUCUCAAGGCCCUGCUGGCGCACCGCAACGACGAUCCGACAGACGAGGAGCGGUCAGCGAAGCGGCGGCGCAAGGAGGAGCUGAAGAUCGAGGAUCGCCUGCAGCGUCAGGUUCUUCGCAGCGCCCGCAGCAAAGCCCUCACGAAGGAGGAACGAGAGGAGAAACGCAAGCGCAUCAUGAUGGCGAAGCAGGAGCGCAUCGCCAAGAAUCGCGAGCGCAAGCGUCGCCUACACGAAGCCCGCCAGCGCUCGUUUGAAAAAUGGCGCCAAGCGAAACUCGCGGCAGCCUCGCAGGUGGACAACGAGGACGAUUAAGCAACGCACCUGCAGCGGGGCACCGCAACCAAGGAGGGCAGGUGGGCUUUGUGCUGCUGCGCUUACGUGGUGGUCGUGGUGAGAAGCCCCGAGCGUCUUUCUUCUGUUCUUCUGGUCUCGUUUCCGGCUGGCGUUGCUGUUUGCUUGGACGGCAGGCCGCCAUAGCCGUUUAGAAGGUCGCACCCACCACCUUCCCUCCCGCCUCUCCUUCUCGCCUUUCGCAUAUCCCUGUCUGUGUUUGCGUCUUGUCUUCUUGUAUGUUUUUUGGUAACAGUGUUAAGCAUGUUUCUGUUCUCAGUGUUACACUCCUUUCUCUUCCCUUCCCCUCCCCUCCCUUCCUCCGUGUUCCGUUGUUGAGCUUCGUGUUCGUGGGUGUUCGUCUGUUUGAUGAGGACGAACGGCGGUCGUGUUGAUGAUGAUGCGCAUACUUAUUUCUCUGUGUGCGCGCGCUGGGCCGUUUCCGUUUUCUUUCCUUUUCUCCACUAAAACGGCGUUUAAUGGUAGGAUUGUGUGUGUCUGUGUGUGUGUGUGCGGUAGCGCUGCCUGUGUGCCCUGCGCGUGCACGCGUCCCUGCCUCGGUCACCAUGAUGGAUGUGAUGGUGCCCAAAGAUAUACGCAUAAACAGGCACUCAGACGGAGGCACACGACCCCUCCCCCUCUCUCGGUGGCCUCUCGCUCUAAAGCAUAAGCAGAGCAGUAU